UUCCCGUAGUGACACUAUGGUAGGUGUUGUUUUUUAUGUAGGUUUUUCAAGAAACACUAGAUCUGUGCAGGCAGCAAGUAAUUCAGUGUGCUCCUUGGCGGCAGAAACAGGACCGUGUCGGGGGGCGUUUCCAAAGUAUUAUUAUGACUCCAGUUCUAAAUCUUGCAAAUCUUUCACGUAUGGAGGAUGUGAUGGAAAUGGCAACAGAUUUGACACCGAGGCCGAGUGUAUGGCGGCUUGUGGAGGUCAGUAGCAGGUCUUGGAAACGAAGAUCUCUAAAAGUGUGUGGAAUGAACAAUUGGACCCUUUAAUCUCAAGUUACUAAGUAAUUAAUUACAACGAGUUUAAAACCUUAGUCUGAUUUCUCAUCAAAUGACAACCAUUGGAAUAUGAUGUUGAUGAAUGCUGAGAUUUCGAUUAAGGAACCUAAUUACAGCUCACAUGAGACGAUUAAGGAUAUCUCUUUCUGAAUAUUUAUUGUAGUUUUGUGCUGAAGCACACAAAAGUUAUUAAAACUUAAUGUUCCCGAG
Orbicella faveolata is the source of this 530-nucleotide long non-coding RNA. NCBI's taxonomy places the organism in Eukaryota, Metazoa, Cnidaria, Anthozoa, Scleractinia, Merulinidae. The record is from RefSeq and is a predicted model, not a curated record.